AUGUGCUAUGGCGUGUACUUCGCCGCCAAGAAGCUGAAGCCCUACUUCCAAGAGCAUCCCAUCACGGUCGUAUGCACCGCCCCGCUGGCCGAGAUCAUAGGCAGCCGGGAUGCAUCCGGCCGGGUGGCGAAAUGGGCCAUCGAGCUAGCCCCUUACACGAUCUUCUACCAGCCUCGCACAACCAUCAAGUCCCAAGCAUUGGCCGACUUCCUCGUCGACUGGGCUGAGACCCAGUACCUACCGCCGGCUCCCGACUCCACUCAUUGGCGCAUGCACUUCGAUGGGUCCAAGAUGCGCACCGACUUGGGAGCCGGCAUCAUCCUCACCUCUCCCAAAGGCGACAAGCUCAGAUACACGCUGCAAAUUCGCUUUGCUGCCUCCAACAACGUGGCCGAGUACGAGGCGCUCAUACACGGGCUCCGGCUUGCCAAAGAACUCGGCAUUCGCCGGAUCCUAUGUUAUGGCGACUCGGACUUGGUGGUCCAGCAAUCAUCCGGCGACUGGGAUGCCAAGGACGCAAAUAUGGCAAGCUACCGCUUCCUGGUUCAACAACUCAGCGGAUACUUUGAAGGAUGCGAGUUCCUCCACGUACGGCGAGCCGACAACGAGCCAGCCGAUGCCCUGGCUCGAAUAGGCUCCACUCGGCAAGCAAUACCAACUGGCGUCGCUCUACAGCGCCUCCUCAAGCCGUCCAUCAAGCCGUCUCCAGAGUCCCAUUCCAUCUUUGUACCGCCUGACCCCGACGCAGCCGGGUCCGGCUCGAAGAACCAAGCAGGCGACCCCGGGACUGCAGUAGUCAGCCCGGGGACUUCGGCAACCGGCUCGGGGACUGCCACACCCGGCUCGGGGACUGCAGUAGCCGGCCCGGGGACUGCACCAACACAACAGCCGGAGGCCGACUCCAGCAUUUCACCACCCAGCCCGCCCACCCUGGUGGCAGUAGCCACAUUGGCAGUAGGAGAAGUCGCGGCUCCGUCAUGGGCUCAGUCCAUCCUCAACUUCCUAGUAAAUCAAGAUCUGUCGGCCGACGAAGUAGAGGCAAGACAAGUCCAACGCCGAGCCGGAGCAUACACAAUCGUCAACAGAGAGCUCGUCAAGCGCAGUGUCACUGGAGUCCUCCAGUGA
Molecule: ribosomal RNA, 1125 nt
Filed under: Triticum aestivum (bread wheat)
Lineage: Eukaryota; Viridiplantae; Streptophyta; Magnoliopsida; Poales; Poaceae
Description: partial small subunit ribosomal RNA
Source: RNAcentral